UGUUUGGAUCUGAUGAUUGGAAAACGAGCAGCAACGCCAUUUCGAUUUUGAGGAAGGGCGAGGAGGCACCAGCAAUGCGGGAAGGACUGAACCCCGGUGCUGCAGCUUUAGCUCCCCAGCACAUGCUCCGUCCCCGGGAGGAGGACAGCCAAGGGAAUCUGGAGCUUGUUGGAAAACAAGGAAAUUAAGGACUUCCUUUAAAGGAAAACGAAGUACAUAAGAGCUGGCAAGAAGAGACAUGGUUUGGGUGUGAUCGAUGUGCAAAAUCCUAAACGCCUUUAUUGAUGAUAUAAGCUGAUGCUGUCCUUGGGGUGAUGACCAGUUCCUCCAAAUCCUGAGGACAACUUCUCAGGGAAGAGUGGAAGACAGGAAAUCCCCACUACUGGAAGCAUGAGAGACAUAGCAUUCCACUCUCACAAAGAAUUCACAUCAAAUGAAGACGAUAUGAGGCCAGGAUUUUGUUUUCCCUGUUGCUAAGGUGGCGGGAAAACAGCAGCAGUGAUAAGUAGCUGUAAUUGCUCCAACCUUUG
This is a long non-coding RNA of Tupaia belangeri chinensis (Chinese tree shrew), 530 nucleotides long. RefSeq lists it as uncharacterized. The transcript is spliced from 4 exons. The record is from RefSeq and is a predicted model, not a curated record. Lineage: Eukaryota; Metazoa; Chordata; Mammalia; Scandentia; Tupaiidae.